UGGCUCAGUUGGUAGAGCAUUGUGUUUGCAACGCCAGGGUUGUGGGUUUGAUUCCCAC
Salmo salar (Atlantic salmon) is the source of this 58-nucleotide non-coding RNA. The record is from Rfam. NCBI's taxonomy places the organism in Eukaryota, Metazoa, Chordata, Actinopteri, Salmoniformes, Salmonidae.